RNAcentral lists this unclassified non-coding RNA (402 nucleotides) under Hevea brasiliensis (rubber tree). Lineage: Eukaryota; Viridiplantae; Streptophyta; Magnoliopsida; Malpighiales; Euphorbiaceae. The record is from RNAcentral.
GGAAAUUUCUUAUGAAGAUGAUGUGGUCGAUCUACCUCCUGCUCCUGAUGUGAGCAGCUACAUGAUGUCAGAGGAAGCUGGUUUUGUACCCAAUGAGACUGUGAAUGCUCCAAUUUGUGAAGGAAUGAAUGGUGUUGAAGUGGAAAGGAGAUUGAAUCAACCGGAUGAUAAGCAUGUAAUAGACAUGGCCAAUAAUCCUACCACAAGCCAACCGGAUGUAAGAGCAGAUACUUCUCAAUUGCCGCCACCUCUAAAUCUGAAUGUCAUUGGACCAAAAUCUUCAAGAACUUUACUGCCUUCUCAAAAGCCUGGUUUGCUUGGGGCCCCUGUCAGACGAGAUCUCUCUUCUGAUCAUGACAUGAAGAGAGGACUCCUUGCUACGAAACCUGGCAUAGAUCUCAG